GGAAGUUAGCGUACUGGGUACAAAUCGGUCUUGAACACCGAGCCAUUGGCAACGAUGAGGGUUCGAUUCCUUUAACUUCCGCCA
Molecule: transfer RNA, 84 nt
Filed under: Moraxella lacunata
Lineage: Bacteria; Pseudomonadati; Pseudomonadota; Gammaproteobacteria; Moraxellales; Moraxellaceae
Description: tRNA-Ser(tga)
Rfam family: tRNA
About the family: Transfer RNA (tRNA) molecules are approximately 80 nucleotides in length. Their secondary structure includes four short double-helical elements and three loops (D, anti-codon, and T loops). Further hydrogen bonds mediate the characteristic L-shaped molecular structure. tRNAs have two regions of fundamental functional importance: the anti-codon, which is responsible for specific mRNA codon recognition, and the 3' end, to which the tRNAs corresponding amino acid is attached (by aminoacyl-tRNA synthetases). tRNAs cope with the degeneracy of the genetic code in two manners: having more than one tRNA (with a specific anti-codon) for a particular amino acid; and 'wobble' base-pairing, i.e. permitting non-standard base-pairing at the 3rd anti-codon position.
Source: RNAcentral